Molecule: ribosomal RNA, 497 nt
Filed under: uncultured bacterium
Lineage: Bacteria
Description: partial 16S ribosomal RNA
Rfam family: Bacterial small subunit ribosomal RNA
Source: RNAcentral
GAUGAACGCUGGCGGCGUGCCUAAUACAUGCAAGUCGAGCGAACAGGCGAGAAGCUUGCUCCUCUGACGUUAGCGGCGGACGGGUGAGUAACACGUGGAUAACCUACCUAUAAGACUGGGAUAACUUCGGGAAACCGGAGCUAAUACCGGAUAAUAUAUUGAACCGCAUGGUUCAAUAGUGAAAGACGGUUUUGCUGUCACUUAUAGAUGGAUCCGCGCCGCAUUAGCUAGUUGGUAAGGUAACGGCUUACCAAGGCAACGAUGCGUAGCCGACCUGAGAGGGUGAUCGGCCGCACUGGAACUGAGACACGGUCCAGACUCCUACGGGAGGCAGCAGUAGGGAAUCUUCCGCAAUGGGCGAAAGCCUGACGGAGCAACGCCGCGUGAGUGAUGAAGGUCUUCGGAUCGUAAAACUCUGUUAUUAGGGAAGAACAAAUGUGUAAGUAACUAUGCACGUCUUGACGGUACCUAAUCAGAAAGCCACGGCUAACUACGUG